This 715-nucleotide long non-coding RNA is filed under the name Pan troglodytes (chimpanzee). RNAcentral's name for it is "long non-coding RNA NONPTRT014555". The record is from RNAcentral. Lineage: Eukaryota; Metazoa; Chordata; Mammalia; Primates; Hominidae.
UCUCUGCGUGCCACCUAACAUAGCCUGAACUUUUGCCGACUUCGGGAUGUUUUACUGAGAACAGAGAGGAAUCUAUUUACUUCAGAGAGGAAAUACGAUGUCAUAUUUGCUUUCAGUUUGGGGGCGAGGGAACUCGUGAUAAAGCUUCUGCGUGCCACUUGACGCAUCCUGAACUUUAAAAAUACAUCUGCAGACUCUUUAUCUAUUUUACCUCAACGGAGCGCAGGUAUUGGUCCCACCUCUGCUUUUCCUGUCUUUGAAACCAACCGAUGCACCUUUCGGGAUUUUUAACUCCUAUGUUAGCUAGGGCUCCAACCAUGGUUGAAGAUAGACGGAAACCAGUGCGUCACAAAGGUGGCUAGCGAGAGUUCUUUUUUAAAAGGGUCUGACAAAGCGUCCGAGGAAUGAAGGAGGAACUGGAGAGGAUUCGCGGUUGGGCGGAGACACGUUCGCUGAAUUGCCUUGCGUAUAUUUGGUAGGGGAAACGUGUGACUGCAGAGCAAAGAAAGAUGGACAAUAGCGAGUAACUUCACAGGGAUUUCCUAAGAGCCGCAUUUUUACGUCAAUUCCUCGUUAGUAUAGUGGUAUUCUCUUGGCCAAACUCAAGCAGGAGUCAGAGGAUAAAGAAGCCCAUUGAAAAUGUCCAUACUGAUCAGCGCCAGGGCAGGCAACAAGAUGCAGAAUGGGGCCAGGGUACCUGGAUGAUACACAGCAC